CAGGAGAAACGCUGGGCGGGCGUGCCUUAACACAUCCAAAGUUCGAGCGGAAGGUUUAUAAGAAAGGUUUUUUGGGAUGAUUUCAUAUAAACUUAGCGGCGGACGGGUGAGUAACGCGUGAGGAACCCUGCCUUGUAAUAGGGGAUAGCCUCGGGAAACCGGGAUUAAUACCCUAUGAUACUUAUUCUCCACAUGGAGAUUAAGUUAAAGCGAUUUAGCGGUACAAGAUGGUCUCGCGUCCCAUUAGUUAGUUGGUGAGGUAAUGGCUCACCAAGACCACGAUGGGUAGCCGGCCUGAGAGGGUGAUCGGCCACACUGGAACUGAGACACGGUCCAGACUCCUACGGGAGGCAGCAGUGGGGAAUAUUGCACAAUGGAGGAAACUCUGAUGCAGCGACGCCGCGUGAAUGAUGAAGGUCUUCGGAUCGUAAAAUUCUGUCCUAGGGGACGAUAAUGACGGUACCCUAGGAGGAAGCCCCGGCUAACUAUGUGCCAGCAGCCGCGGUAAUACAUAGGGGGCAAGCGUUGUCCGGAUUUAUUGGGCGUAAAGGGUACGCAGGCGGUCCUUUAAGUCAGAUGUGAAAUCUUACGGCUCAACCGUAAUUAGCAUUUGAAACUGGAGGACUUGAGUUAAGGAGAGGAAAGUGGAAUUCCUAGUGUAGCGGUGAAAUGCGUAGAUAUUAGGAGGAAUACCAGUGGCGAAGGCGACUUUCUGGACUUAUACUGACGCUGAGGUACGAAAGCGUGGGGGGCAAACAGGAUUAGAUACCCUGGUAGUCCACGCUGUAAACGAUGAGUGCUAGGUGUCGGGGGUCAAACCUCGGUGCCGGAGUUAACGCA
Molecule: ribosomal RNA, 840 nt
Filed under: uncultured bacterium
Lineage: Bacteria
Description: bacterial SSU rRNA
Rfam family: Bacterial small subunit ribosomal RNA
Source: RNAcentral